RNAcentral lists this ribosomal RNA (400 nucleotides) under uncultured Enterobacteriaceae bacterium. RNAcentral describes it as "bacterial SSU rRNA". It matches the Rfam family "Bacterial small subunit ribosomal RNA", at positions 983 to 1382 of the family's 1533-position model. Lineage: Bacteria; Pseudomonadati; Pseudomonadota; Gammaproteobacteria; Enterobacterales; Enterobacteriaceae. The record is from RNAcentral.
GACAUCCAGAGAAUUUGCUAGAGAUAGCUUAGUGCCUUCGGGAACUCUGAGACAGGUGCUGCAUGGCUGUCGUCAGCUCGUGUUGUGAAAUGUUGGGUUAAGUCCCGCAACGAGCGCAACCCUUAUCCUUUGUUGCCAGCGAGUAAUGUCGGGAACUCAAAGGAGACUGCCGGUGAUAAACCGGAGGAAGGUGGGGAUGACGUCAAGUCAUCAUGGCCCUUACGAGUAGGGCUACACACGUGCUACAAUGGCAUAUACAAAGAGAAGCGAACUCGCGAGAGCAAGCGGACCUCAUAAAGUAUGUCGUAGUCCGGAUUGGAGUCUGCAACUCGACUCCAUGAAGUCGGAAUCGCUAGUAAUCGUAGAUCAGAAUGCUACGGUGAAUACGUUCCCGGGCCUU